Molecule: ribosomal RNA, 1433 nt
Filed under: uncultured organism
Description: SSU rRNA
Rfam family: Bacterial small subunit ribosomal RNA
Source: RNAcentral
UUCAGGCUUAACACAUGCAAGUCGAGGGGCAGCAUGGUCUUAGCUUGCUAAGGCCGAUGGCGACCGGCGCACGGGUGAGUAACACGUAUCCAACCUGCCGUCUACUCUUGGACAGCCUUCUGAAAGGAAGAUUAAUACAAGAUGGCAUCAUGAGUCCGCAUGUUCACAUGAUUAAAGGUAUUCCGGUAGACGAUGGGGAUGCGUUCCAUUAGAUAGUAGGCGGGGUAACGGCCCACCUAGUCUUCGAUGGAUAGGGGUUCUGAGUGGAAGGUCCCCCACAUUGGAACUGAGACACGGUCCAAACUCCUACGGGAGGCAGCAGUGAGGAAUAUUGGUCAAUGGGCGAGAGCCUGAACCAGCCAAGUAGCGUGAAGGAUGACUGCCCUAUGGGUUGUAAACUUCUUUUAUAAAGGAAUAAAGUCGGGUAUGGAUACCCGUUUGCAUGUACUUUAUGAAUAAGGAUCGGCUAACUCCGUGCCAGCAGCCGCGGUAAUACGGAGGAUCCGAGCGUUAUCCGGAUUUAUUGGGUUUAAAGGGAGCGUAGAUGGAUGUUUAAGUCAGUUGUGAAAGUUUGCGGCUCAACCGUAAAAUUGCAGUUGAUACUGGAUAUCUUGAGUGCAGUUGAGGCAGGCGGAAUUCGUGGUGUAGCGGUGAAAUGCUUAGAUAUCACGAAGAACUCCGAUUGCGAAGGCAGCCUGCUAAGCUGCAACUGACAUUGAGGCUCGAAAGUGUGGGUAUCAAACAGGAUUAGAUACCCUGGUAGUCCACACGGUAAACGAUGAAUACUCGCUGUUUGCGAUAUACUGCAAGCGGCCAAGCGAAAGCGUUAAGUAUUCCACCUGGGGAGUACGCCGGCAACGGUGAAACUCAAAGGAAUUGACGGGGGCCCGCACAAGCGGAGGAACAUGUGGUUUAAUUCGAUGAUACGCGAGGAACCUUACCCGGGCUUAAAUUGCAGAUGAAUUACGGUGAAAGCCGUAAGCCGCAAGGCAUCUGUGAAGGUGCUGCAUGGUUGUCGUCAGCUCGUGCCGUGAGGUGUCGGCUUAAGUGCCAUAACGAGCGCAACCCUUGUUGUCAGUUACUAACAGGUUCCGCUGAGGACUCUGACAAGACUGCCAUCGUAAGAUGUGAGGAAGGUGGGGAUGACGUCAAAUCAGCACGGCCCUUACGUCCGGGGCUACACACGUGUUACAAUGGGGGGUACAGAGGGCCGCUACCACGCGAGUGGAUGCCAAUCCCCAAAACCUCUCUCAGUUCGGACUGGAGUCUGCAACCCGACUCCACGGAGCUGGAUUCGCUAGUAAUCGCGCAUCAGCCACGGCGCGGUGAAUACGUUCCCGGGCCUUGUACACACCGCCCGUCAAGCCAUGGGAGCCGGGGGUACCUGAAGUGCGUAACCGCGAGGAGCGCCCUAGGGUAAAACUGGUGACUGG